This 551-nucleotide ribosomal RNA is filed under the name uncultured bacterium. RNAcentral's name for it is "bacterial SSU rRNA". It matches the Rfam family "Bacterial small subunit ribosomal RNA", at positions 777 to 1325 of the family's 1533-position model. The record is from RNAcentral.
AAUAGAUACCCAGGUAGUCCACACCGUAAACGAUGAGUGCUAAGUGUUAGGGGGUUUCCGCCCCUUAGUGCUGCAGCUAACGCAUUAAGCACUCCGCCUGGGGAGUACGGUCGCAAGACUGAAACUCAAAGGAAUUGACGGGGGCCCGCACAAGCGGUGGAGCAUGUGGUUUAAUUCGAAGCAACGCGAAGAACCUUACCAGGUCUUGACAUCCCAUUGACCACUAUGGAGACAUAGUUUUCCCUUCGGGGACAACGGUGACAGGUGGUGCAUGGUUGUCGUCAGCUCGUGUCGUGAGAUGUUGGGUUAAGUCCCGCAACGAGCGCAACCCUUGUUCUUAGUUGCCAUCAUUUAGUUGGGCACUCUAAGGAGACUGCCGGUGACAAACCGGAGGAAGGUGGGGAUGACGUCAAAUCAUCAUGCCCCUUAUGACCUGGGCUACACACGUGCUACAAUGGACGGUACAAACGGUUGCCAACCCGCGAGGGGGAGCUAAUCCGAUAAAACCGUUCUCAGUUCGGAUUGUAGGCUGCAACUCGCCUACAUGAACG